AUGGCUUGCGAAGAGUCGGCGGUGCCGCUGAAGACGACGGAGCAGUUCUACUUCUCCGUGAUGACCAGGACGAAGUCGCUAUCUGUGCUUGGCCAUAGCAUGUGUUUAGGCCGGAAUCCACCCCAUGACGGGUCAACGUCAGUCUAUGCUGCACCAGACCAACUUCUAAGGCUAAAUGCACCAAAGCUACUCAGUGAUGCAAACUUCACAUUGGGAAGAUGUGAAAAGAACACGUUCUUUAGGUGUUUGUCACUAUUCCUAUUACAUUACUUGAGAAUUUUUCGUGUGAUUCACGUCAUCGUUGGCCCCAUGUUCGCUGGCAAGACCACCGCGCUUCUCCGCCGGCACCGGCAGGUUGGGAAGCUUAUUUUUUCCAAAGUGAUUGUUUGGGUACUACAAGCUCCCACAGAGUGGAAGCGGUUGUUACAACAGGUUUGA
RNAcentral lists this ribosomal RNA (438 nucleotides) under Triticum aestivum (bread wheat). RNAcentral's name for it is "partial small subunit ribosomal RNA". Lineage: Eukaryota; Viridiplantae; Streptophyta; Magnoliopsida; Poales; Poaceae. The record is from RNAcentral.